RNAcentral lists this ribosomal RNA (433 nucleotides) under uncultured bacterium. Its description in RNAcentral is "partial 16S ribosomal RNA". It matches the Rfam family "Bacterial small subunit ribosomal RNA", at positions 29 to 507 of the family's 1533-position model. The record is from RNAcentral.
AACGAACGCUGGCGGCAUGCCUAACACAUGCAAGUCGAACGAGACCUUCGGGUCUAGUGGCGCACGGGUGCGUAACGCGUGGGAACCUGCCCUUAGGUUCGGAAUAACUCCCCGAAAGGGGUGCUAAUACCGGAUAAUGUCUUCGGACCAAAGAUUUAUCGCCUUUGGAUGGGCCCGCGUUGGAUUAGCUAGUUGGUAGGGUAAAAGCCUACCAAGGCGACGAUCCAUAGCUGGUCUGAGAGGAUGCUCAGCCACACUGGGACUGAGACACGGCCCAGACUCCUACGGGAGGCAGCAGUGGGGAAUAUUGGACGCUGGGCGAAAGCCUGAUCCAGCAAUGCCGCGUGAGUGAUGAAGGCCUUAGGGUUGUAAAGCUCUUUUACCCGGGAUGAUAAUGACAGUACCGGGAGAAUAAGCUCCGGCUAACUCCGUG